This 574-nucleotide long non-coding RNA is filed under the name Vigna radiata. RNAcentral describes it as "long non-coding RNA (VRAD_LNC017997)". Lineage: Eukaryota; Viridiplantae; Streptophyta; Magnoliopsida; Fabales; Fabaceae. The record is from RNAcentral.
CCUACCCUUGUCUUGGACCUUGAGUCUCACAAGUUACAAGCAUUUACCGAUGCAUAUGCAGAACUUGCACCUGCUUUGUCUGGUUUGAAUGUUCUUAUUGAGACCUACUUUGCUGACGUCCCUGCUGCGGCAUACAAGACUCUCACAUCUCUGAACGGCGUCACUGCAUAUGGAUUUGAUUUAGUCCGUGGAACCAAGACUCUUGAUUUGAUCAAGGGUGGAUUUCCAAGUGGAAAAUACCUCUUUGCUGGAGUGGUUGAUGGAAGGAACAUCUGGGCUAAUGAUCUUGCUUCUUCUCUCGCUACAUUACAGGGUCUUGAGGGCAUUGUGGGCAAAGGUAUAGAUUGGGCAUACAUUUCACUGUGAAUUUUGGGAUGCUUUUACGGUCAAUAUAGUUGUUUGAUAUAUCUAUUGUUUAAACUGUAUGCAGAUAACCUUGUUGUGUCUACCUCCUCUUCCCUUCUUCACACUGCUGUUGAUCUUGUUAAUGAGACCAAGUUGGAUGAUGAGAUUAAGUCAUGGCUAGCUUUUGCUGCCCAAAAAAUUGUUGAAGUUAACGCAUUGGCUAAGGCUU